AUACAAUGAGGUUUUAAAAUCGUAUUAGCGAUCUAAAUUAUUCUUUGCCUUCACACAACCUUGCAAUAGGUGCUCUCAACGAGGAAUGAUAGUAGUAUAAGUAACCAAUUUUAUUGUGUCAAAAGAAAAGGAAUAUUGUUAUUGUCCAUACACGACAAAAAUAAGACUAAAAAUUACAUGCAAUAAAAGGGACUCAACAACGAAAAACAUAACUGUGUUUUGCAAUUAGUUAACCCAAAAAAAUUGGAACUAGCUGAGAGAAGGAAUCUAUAACAAUGAGAUAAAUUAUAUUCUGGUUUUAACAUACAACUCGGAUAUGAAAUUGCAAAAGAAAUGUUUACAGCAAUAAAUGCAACCAUCAUAGUCUUUUUUUUGAACAACAACCAUCAUAGUGUUCUUAUCGUGACUUGCUAAUUCCAGAAUUUAAUACAAAAUGAGAUAUUCAACAACAAAAAUCAAGAAAUCAAACAAG
Molecule: long non-coding RNA, 472 nt
Filed under: Trifolium pratense (red clover)
Lineage: Eukaryota; Viridiplantae; Streptophyta; Magnoliopsida; Fabales; Fabaceae
Description: long non-coding RNA (TPRA_LNC013438)
Source: RNAcentral